Molecule: ribosomal RNA, 255 nt
Filed under: uncultured bacterium
Lineage: Bacteria
Description: partial 16S ribosomal RNA
Rfam family: Bacterial small subunit ribosomal RNA
Source: RNAcentral
UACAGAGGAGCCAAGCGUUGUCCGGAUUGACUGGGCGUAAAGCGCACGCAGGCGGACGCGCGCGUGGGGUGUGAAAUCUGGCCGCUUAACGGCCAGGCGCCAUCCCAUACGGCGGGUCUGGAGCCUUGCAGAGGUCGGUGGAAUUGCCGGUGUAGUGGUGAAAUGCGUAGAUAUCUGGAGGAAUACCGGUGGCGAAGGCGGCAUCCUGGACCGACAUUGACGCUGAUGAGCGAAAGCUAGGGGAGCGAAGUGGGA